This 537-nucleotide long non-coding RNA is filed under the name Suricata suricatta (meerkat). RNAcentral's name for it is "lncRNA (ENSSSUG00005001857.1)". Lineage: Eukaryota; Metazoa; Chordata; Mammalia; Carnivora; Herpestidae. The record is from RNAcentral.
AGGGGUUGGAAGCUAGGGUUUCAGAGGCUGUAUUUUUGGUGGACGGACAAAAUCGUGUGUCCACGGCAGAGAAUAAAAGCCACGUGGAGAUCAUCCCAGGAUUUGUUCAAAGCUCUCCCAUGGCCCCUGGGGCCCUGCCACUGGGCAGAGUGGCCCAGGAGGCUUUUUAGAUCUCUAGGGUGUUACAACUUUGCUGUGGCCUUGGCAGUGAUGGAGGAGGGACACUGGGAACACGUUAGAAGACAGGGACAGGGGGAUUGAGUGACUUCAGCACGGAGGCAGGAGAGCAACUCUGACCGCUGGCGCUGGCCCAAGCAGAGCAGAAUGAACGCCACGAGCAGCAGUUGAAGGAAGAAUGUGGCUACGGAGCAAAACAUGGAAGACAGAGGCACCUUGCAACGAUUCCUCUAUUUGGGAUUCCAGGCCUGUGUCCCCUUCUUCCUGAGGCCAUGCAGACACAAAUGAUUAGUUUAGAAGACAUUUGCAUCUUUGACAGGACCUUGUUUUCGUUAAAUAAAGCUAUUGUUAGAGUUACAG